This is a long non-coding RNA of Stegostoma tigrinum, 8642 nucleotides long. RefSeq lists it as uncharacterized. Lineage: Eukaryota; Metazoa; Chordata; Chondrichthyes; Orectolobiformes; Stegostomatidae. The record is from RefSeq and is a predicted model, not a curated record. The transcript is spliced from 6 exons.
UCUGGAGCGGCGGGGUGGGGGCGUGCGGCGACACGUGAUCAAUCUUAACCGAAACAACUGCGGAUACUGUAAAUCAGGAACAAAAACAGAAGUUACUGGAACAGCUCAACAGCUCUGGCCGCAUCUGUGAAAAAAAAAUCAGAGUUAACGUUUCGUGUCCGGUGACCCUUCCUCAGAACAGCAACGUUCCGGCCGGUGUUUGCACGCAGGCGCAGCGUCAUUCUGACCGCCGUAAGCUGGUGAUUGCCGGUUUUGUCGGAGCUGGUAAAGGAACAAAGAAUAAGCUAUUGGGGAAACAGUGAAUGUUAGUGUGGUCUGGGAGACUUUAUCACCGUUUGUGUACAACUGUAGAUCCGAAUUAGAGCUUCUUGGUCAUGCGUUUUCAGUAAACUGAAAAGGGCUGCAGGCUUCAGGCCGCGAGAGGCCCAGGUUACCGCCAGAAUAUUUAUUGGCCCCAAAGCCCCGCGUGUUUCGGACAGAAUGGUCCCUGCUUUGCACUGAGGACCUGGGGGUUGGAAGCGUUUUCUUUCUCAAUGAACUACCACAGUAAAUCUGUACUCCACAACUUAAAGGGCUCUCGUAUCUUUUCUGACCAGAAUUGGAUGCAAUGAUUGACUGUGACCUCACCAGAUCUUUAUCAAGGUUCAGCAUCUUUUCCGGUCCCAAUGCACUGCCACCGAUGUUGGAAUUUGGGAUCUCUGGGUUUAUGCUCCCAUCCCAGAAUGUGAUUUUUGAAGUCCCGGUGGUCCCUCUGGAUUACCACACCUAGAGCCUGGAUGAAGACUUGGGACUGUGUGGGUUUGUACGUUUGGGUUGAGUCGGCUGAUGCGCAAAGGUGUGUUUUGGGUUCAUGUACGGGAUGGCCUUCUGGAGGAGGUACUGGGUGCGGGUACAGUUACAGCAUUUAAAAGGCAGUCGGCUACUGAAAGUUGCUGACUGAGCAGAAUUCCUGACUCCAGUCUCGUCCAUCACCAUGUUGAAGUCAACUGGAAAAUUCAAGCGACGACGGACAGGGAGAUCUGGAGCAUUCGUCAGAUCCUGCAGUCAGGAGUUUUGUCACCGUGCCUGGAGACAGCCUUUGAAGCAAUGUUAUUCUACUGUGCUGGGAAUUUAUGCUGUCCAGUCCAUUAUGUUCUUGCAAGAAAAAACCUGGCCAAAGAAACACUGACUGCAGUAUUAUGAGAAGAACAGAAGACACAUACACCAGACACCACCAACCUCAUCAGCAAGGACAACAUCAUCAAGCUAGUGGACCUAUGCCUCACCACCCACUUCACUUUCACUAAUAAAACCUACAGACAAACCAACGGUACACCCAUGGGAUCUCCGAUAUCAGGGUUCUUAGCAGAGGCAGUAAUGCAGAGACUCGAACAAACAGCUCUGCCAACCAUCCAACCCAAACUUUGGGUCUGCUACGUGGAUGACACCUUUGUCAUCACGAAACAAAACAAAUCAGAGGAAACCUUCAAGACCAUCAAUAAUACCCUUACUGGCAUAACAUUCACAAAAGAGGAGGAAAACAACAACAAACUGCCAUUCCUAGGUGUCACAGUAGAGCGAACAGUCAAUGGGGAACUUCAAACCAGCGUCUACAGGAAAACAACACAUACGGACCAAAUACUGAACUACAGGAGCAACCAUCCCAACACCCACAAACGAAGCUGCAUUAGAACAUUAUUCCAACGAGCCACUGCACACUGUGCAGCACAGAGGAACUACGAAGAGCAGAAGAAAAUCACCUAUACAGCGUAUUCAAAAAGAAUGGGUACCCUAUGAACACCGUCCGCCGAUUUCUCAGCAACAAACCCAAACAAACAGACAAAACAGGCUCAGAAACCAUAACCACGCUCCCCUACAUUAAAGACAUUUCUGAAAUGACUGCCAGACUACUCGGACCUCUUGGCAUCAGGGUAGCCCACAAACCCACCAACACACUAAAACAGCAACUAAUGAACUUAAAAGACCCUAGACAGACAACGAGCAAAACGAAUGUCAUUUACAAAAUACCUUGCAAGAACUGUGACAAGCACUACAUUGGACAAAUGGGCAAAACGCUAGCCACCAGGAUACAUGCUGCAAAAAGAAAAUCGGAGAUGGCAAAACCGAUCUGCAGCGAAAGUGAUCACACAUGAAAACGCAAAAGCAGAUCACUAAGCAAAGACACAAUCUUUUCGGUCGCUUUCCCUGGUGGACUAGUGGUUAGCAUUUGGCACUUUCGCCGCUGCGGCCUGAGACCAAUUUCCCCGUAAGGGAAUGGAAGCUCUGUAGUACUACUCUAUGUUGGUGAUAGCGCUUCUGACUGAUUUUUCAGGAGCUGACACCCGAUCUGUUUUGUCCCAAAAGUUAUCAUUUAAGAUAAAACAAAUCUGACAAUCUGACACAAAAACAGUAACCCAAAGAGAAACUCAGCAAGCAUGGUAAUAUCUGCAGAGGGAAACAUUUCGGAUCCACUGACCAUUCGUCACUGCCAGGUUAUCUGUGUUUCUAUAGUAAUAUGCUGGGAGACAUUGUUAACUUUAUCUUUUGAAUCAUUUAUUUAUCAAAAUCACACUUGCUCCUUAGCUUACCAGCAUUAACUUUUGAACUUUAAAGGGACUUGAACAGCACUAUUGCUCCUUCUGUUGCCCUGAGGUAAUGAGAUCCUCUGUUUUUUUUUCUUUUCUGUCAGCAGCCAUGUGAAGUGGAGAAUUGGUCCUUCCAGUGUCUACCACAGUAAGCUUCUACUUAUCUCUCUUUGUCUCUGUGUAUCCACCUGGCCGUCUUUCACAUUAUCUAACAGCCCAUCUGUAUAUACCCCUCAUUUCCUGUUUAUGCUCUGUGUAAAGUCUGACAUUCGGAGACACUCUGAGAAUGGGAUGUUUUGUACUGGACUUACAUUCCUCAGAUAAUGUGUCUUUUGUUAUGGCUGAGGUAAGGAGACAUUUCUUGUCUCAAAAGAUUAUGAAUCUCCAGAAUUUAAAUUGGAAUUCCUAAUCCACCAGGAAAAAAAACAAUGUCACAAUUAUAGGAUUAUAGCGAUUGUCUUUACUGUUGGUGUAAAAUGUUUGAUUGAUGACACCAGAGAAUGAGAGGGAUUGGCUUGUGGUCUCUGUGCUAAGACCACCACAUUCCUGGUAAGGGUGCAGUUUAUCCUGCCUCACCUCGUUACUCCUGCCAAACGGGGAAUGAAGGGAUGAGAAUACAAGUAAAGGUGAAGCAGAAGUGCUUGUGGAAGAGCAGAAAGGAACUUUAUGAUGAAUCCAGCAGUAAAAGAGACCCUGAAGCAGACUCGUGAUGUCAAAUGUGUUUUCUUUGCCAGUAAAACUCACCGUCACUGCUUCAAUUCAAUGGUCCCUGCUUUGUGAGGCGGUAUCUUUGCUGGUUGUUCACACUGUGAAUGUUACCAUUGCUGCUCAUGUUCAUGCUAACUCCACAACUCUAAUGCAUGUAAGCAUCACACAUAAACUGGAGAUUGGAGCUGAAAACCGAGAGACCUCCAGCUGUGCAACAAGACUAGCUCCCUGCAUUAGGAGCUUCGGCAAAGCUUCAUGCCAAUAGCUUCGGUUUUGCAAAUAGCCAGUGCAUUCAGUUAUUGAGAGAAAGAUUGGCGUUUCAAGGCUACCCAAGAGCCCAGCUUCUUUUAUUUUGUUACCCUGUGAUGUUGCCGGUGAUACAGAAGAUCGUCAAUCGGGAUUAUGCCUUCAGGAGAUAGCUUCGAAACUUUGUCAGCUCCACUAUUUUCUAGUCAGACCUCCAGACAUCCAGGUUUCAAAGCAGUUAUUCUCAACAUUGUGAUCCGACAAUAAACCAACUAUGUACCUGCAUUUAGUUAAUUGAAGUUUAUGAAGAGAUUGGAAUCAAACAAACCCAUCAACGAUCGUGUCUUCCCCAGCUCCACGCUCAGUGAGACAGGGACAAGCAGCAGGAUUUUGUCAUCACACUGUCCAUGGCCACUGCAUCUUCAAUCAGCUGCUUGCUGCACAUCCCUGGCAGGCAAGAUCCUACAACCAGGGCCAAUCUUCUCCAUCCACCAAGCACAAGAUCAAGAAAAAAACAGGAAGAUUUCUCCCGCUCAGUAAAUCCCAGAGCACCAUUGACACAAUCUCCGCGUGAGUGGAAUUUUCUCUUAGCUCCACUUGGGAAAACGUAACUGACACUCCGUAUGAACGUCUCUUCUCCUGUGAAAAAUGACAUUUCACAAGGUAUGCAGCAGAUUCUUCUUGAUCUUUGAAUAGUUUUUAACUGAAGUGUGAAAAUCCAGCCCCCAAAUGCGAAGCUACAGAAGUUGCUGAUGUACUGAUCAAACAAAGUGCUGAAAGUAUUAAGUGAGACUGGGCAGACAGACACACAUCUCACACAAUCUGUAACAGAAAUCACUGGGUUUAUUGCAGCAGAUUCACCAUCCCAGAGUGACUGACAGUCACAUGGGCAGCUAAAGGAUGAGGGCACCGACAUUAAAAUAUGAAUUUUGAAUGUUAAAUGAAAAUGGGUUAUUAUGGUCUGAAGGAGUAACAGCUGAAAAGUGGAAGAUGUAAAUGAUAUUAUUUGUGAUUGAGCAGAAUAAACUGGGAACUUGUGAUUUUCGAGGUGGAUCAUCUUUGGCACAUUGAAAUGAGGUUGCAGGGGCUUUGGUGUGAAAAGGGAAAAUAAGGAUUUUAGAUAAAUAACAAGACAACCAAGUCAAGCCUGGCUAGCUCAGUUGGUAGAGCGUGAGACUCUUAAUCUCAGCAUCGUGGGUUCGAGCCCCACGCUGGGCGUCGUAGCUUCUUACUGCUUUGCUUUCUGUGAUGAAGCAUAGCUUUCCAACGUUAUCAGUGAAACGAGCAGCUGCAGCUAUGCUGAAAACAUGACUGCACUUCUGCUGUGAAAAUCCUGGUUUCCAGUUUUGCAGUGAAAUUUGAUUCCACUUCCCUGGAAAUCGCAGAGAUCGUUUUGGACAUGCAGCCGCUUGUGUAAUAAAUGACAGGACUUGCAAAGGCACUAACGCAACUCCAACCCUGCACCAAUAAGAUUGUUCAAAGUCACAAACUGAGAAUGGUCACGUCCUGGGCAGCUCCAUGUUAAAUGGAGCUGAAACAGAACGAACUAACUCUGGGGAUACCACGGAAAACAUCGAUGACGUCUACUUGAACUCAAUGGCUAUCCUCCUCGCCCAUUUUCUUGGCUGCUCGAUAGCGCCCUGCUACAAUAUUAAUUUCACACCAAAUGCUGAUAGUUCUUCAAUCAAAACAAAUACCAACAGAAAGCUUCGGUCCCUCUCCAUUGUGGGUAAGAACCUGGUUGUCAGGUGCAAGGGGCUUUUGGUACUGUUGUAUGUGGCGCAGACCUGGCCUAUUCCCUGGACCUGCGCCACUGCGGUCACCCGGUCCAUCUUCCACUUCAUUUGGGGAUCGAAAAUGGACCGGGUCCGCAGGGACACCAUGUACAAAGACCUGGAAAAUGGGGGAAAGGAUGUACCGAACGCCACCCUCGCCCUGAUGGCUACCUUUGUGUGUGGCUGCAUCAAGCUCUGGGUAAAUCCUCAGUACGCAAACACCAAGUGUCAUUACUUACUGAGGUUCUACCUGUCCCCGGUGUUGCGAAGGAUGGGCCUGGCCUUGUUGCCGUGGAACGCUCCGAGUAAUUGGACCGUCGCAUACCACCUGUCCUUCGUGGAGAAGUUUAUGAAAGGAGACACCUUUUGACCACAAGGCUGUCAGGUAGUGGUCAGCACGUAGUAUCCUCGAGACCCUUCGGGAAAAGGAGAGGGUGGAUCCCGUCGUGUGGUUCCCCUCGCAGACUCCCAAAAUCGUUUGGCAGAAUGCCUCAUCCCCAGAACUUUCAAACAAGCACAAGGACAUUACUUGGCUGGCAGUGAGAGGGGCUCUUCCAGUGAGAUCCUUUAUGCACACCUGGAAUCUCUGCGCCACCCCACGCUGCCCUUGAGGCGGAUGUUGGGGUGAUGAGACUGUCAAUCACCUCCUUCUCCCUGCUCUACGGGCUGUUCCUGGGACGCACACCUAGACCAAAAUCAACUGCGCCUGGAGGACCAUCAAUGCGGUGAAAGAUGCUCUUUGGUCUGCCCGCAACUUGCUGGUCUGCCAGCUGAAAGAACUGACCCCGACCGAGUGUUGCAGACUGGCCCACUCCAAGGUCCAGGACUACGUGCUGAUAACGCGCUAAAGCUUGGGGCAGCCGCCGCCAAGGCGCGUUGGGGAAAGACCACCAAAUGAAACCCCUCGUCCAGAAUGGAAAAAAAGGGACCUAUCUGGUAACUGGGCCCAGCUGGCGCCUUCCCCAACUGGUCAGGGGGCUAACGGGGACUCUGUGGGGAGACGACUGCCGGGGUAUUUUCUUUGCCUUGUAUUUUUUUCUUUGUUUUGUUUUUGCCUUUCGUUGGUGUCCGUACCCCCUGGGUAACCAGGAGCAGCUUGCAUGACUGGGUCGGUGUAUAAAUGUUUUAUUUUUUGUACUUUCUAUGAAUAAAGUAUAUUUUUUUCAAAUAAAAACAAGUGAUGAAACGUCUGAAAAUGAACCUUACAGCUCAGUGAGCAAACUUGCAUCCUCGAUAUUAGUUCUGGUGAAAUGGAGUUUCGGUACAGUUUAGAAACAGCAAGGGACUGAAAUUGACCGUGGUCCGUGUACAUACACCCCAGUCAACUAUCGUGGUAAUUUUAGCAGAAGGCACUAAACAGGAAAUUGAAGACACCAGGAGAAAGGGGGAGCUCUAAUUAUGAUGAAUGGCCAUUGACUUCAAGAGUCAGGUGACUUCAGUCUGCAUAAAGAUUGGGCAAAGCGAAUCAGUUAUCAUUCCAUACAGGAGGAAUUUCUGACGUACUUUUUAAAUUCAUUCACGGGAUGAGGGCAUCACUGGCUAGGCUAACAUUUAUUACCCAUUCCUAAAUGACCAGAGAGCAGGGAAGAGUCAAACGCAUUGCUGUGGGUCUGGAGUUACAUGUAAGCAAGGAAGGCAGUUCACUUCCCUUAACUGAUAACGGUUCGUAUUGAAUUUAAAUUCCGCCGUCUGCUGCAACGGGAUUCAAACACAAGCUCCCAAAAUACUAUCUGGGUUUCUGGAUUAAGUGUCCAAUGAUGACGACCUCAGGCCAUUCUCUUCCCCAAUGAAGUGUGUGCUGUGCGGGUUUCUGGAUCAACACUUUGAGGAACCAACAAGCAAAACUGAAGUUUGAGGUGGGAAGACUGUGCUCAUGCCCCCUCGGGGAAGUGAACCUCAUUUUCACCCACAGAAGGAAAGAAACAAGGACGCCUUCCACCGAGAGUGCCAGAGGCUUUCGGAGAGAGCAAUCCCCAGAAAGCAGAACUUUACUCACUUGGCUCUAUUGUCCCAUUCCAGACUCCAAAACUAGAACCUGUUUACAGCAACAAAUGGAAGUAUUUGACGGAUGCCCUGGGUUUGUGCUCCUCCCCCAUUGCUCACCUACAGUUUUCCUGCUUCACCUUGUACUUCCAGCCAAACAUCACUGAUGCCAGCUGCUUCCUGCCAUUCCAAAUGCUGCUCCUCAAGUGGAAGGACAAACAGCAAUGUGGAAAUUCACACAUAUUUCCGGCCUGUGGAGGAAAUGAUACUGUUAUAAUUUCAGAUAAUUUUUAAAGGGCUCUUUUUGACCUUUGAAGCAGGGUGUGUACAAACACUAUCACAGGCUCGAACUCACAACCACUUGUUUCUGAGACCAGUGCUCUGACCACUGAGCUGUGGAGCCAGGCACAAGGCAUGGAAAGAGGGUCUCAUGUAUUGGAAAUAACAAAAGAAUAGAUAACUGGAGACUAUUAUAUAUCAAGACGUAACAAAACCGAAACAGAGCAGAGGGGCAUCAUGUGCAGAAGGUUGGGAGAAUGCAAGGCCGAAUCAGACAGUGUCCUGAGUGCCAUAAACUGAUCUUUCCUGCUGGUCCAGUGAUUACGAUUCAGUGCCUUCACUGUCGUAGCCUGUUCAUGGUUAUCAUUUAAAGUAAUAAAUCUGAAAUAUUGACUGAUCUUGAGAAGCAGAAUUAUGUCAUUGAUCAGUCAAAAUCAAUUCACUCCAUGUUACAGUUCCACAGCAGCAAUGCCAGCUGAAACUGCCUGGCGUGCAAUCAGUUUAAAACAAGAAUAGAGGGGAGGUCAGGAAAAGUGAAGGGCAAUGGUAGUUUGUGAGAGUUGGCUGGAGGCCAAGUGGAGUCAGGUUCAAUGUGGGUGCUGAAGACCAGUCUUCACUGUUACCCUGUUAUACAGAUCACAUUGGAUCAAUCACACAAGGACCCUCCUUUGUGUGUUGUCCUUUGCACAUCACAACUCGGGUCAGUGCCUUGAGGGGCUCGGAUACUUUUAAUUUGGCAACUAACUCAGGUCAGUUUUGCACAAACUAAGCUGUGUCGGGACACUAUUUAAACGGACCACCACUCAUUGCAAUGACCCAGAACUAUGCAGAAAGAGGAAGAACACCAAUACAAAAUCUUCGCUUUGAAUGGAUAUCCCUGCAAUUUCAUCCGCAGGUGCUGACUAAACAGCAACACGAAGAGGACACAUUAUGCCCUAACACACUGGACACACUGCCAUACAUCAAGAACAUAUCAGAACUGACUGACAACUCCUAUGAGCACUAGGAGUUACGGUAGCACACAAGCCCAAAGCCAUGCUACGACAAACAUUCUCAAGGAUUAAAGACACCAUACCCACGACAUGCA